CGAAAACAUUUAUUAUCUCUACAACUCCCCGAAUCGCUCAGAAUUCACAGGAAUCACGAUUUCCACGGAGCCUGACAUCCCCUAUGUUGGGGGCGGGGCUUAACCUAAGGCGGAGCAGCGAUUCGCUGCCAGUUUGAUUGACGGUCGCCGUCGUCCAAUCGCAGCUGCGCUCGCGGCGUCGGCUCUCCGCUGCUCCGUGGCAUCAGGGUUACGGGAACAUGUCGGCCUCCGGGAGCCUCUGGACCGGCGCGCUGAUGGAGGCGCGCGCGUGAGCGUCGGGGGGGAUUUUUCCGCCGCGUUUCCCGCCUUCCGCUCCCGCCUCUGCGCGGCGGCCUCGCGGCUCUGACGGCAGCUGCCUCCGCGCGCCGCCGGGACGCUGGCCGGCUAGCUCCGCCCGCCCGCAGCGCCGCUCCAGCCCCGCGGGUCGAACCCGCGCGCGCGGCCGGAGGAGAGGAGCGCCGCGGGGCGCGUGCGCCCGGUACCGGCCCGGGAGCCGGACGGAGCCCGCCCGCUCCGCCUCAGAGGAGCCGCCGACCUCCGCUCAGGAGCUGAAGUUUGAUUGGCCGUCAGACCGGAUCAUCUCGUUAGGCCACGCCCUCCAUCAUUGACCACGGCGGCUGCUGGGAGACCUGAACCAGGAUAACUUCAGGCACUCCAGGCUGCCGCUCCACCACAGCUCCAUCUUCCUGUGUUCAGGAGAAGGAAGCGGAGGGGGGGCCUGGGAAAGGUCGGAGGUCACAGAACGGGGUCACCUGCCCAGCAGGUGUUUCUGCUGGGUCCUAAUGCCCGUCAGCUCGGUUCUGUUUUCACGGACCUGGACGCUAAUGGAUCUGCAGCUCCGCUUCAGAGUUUUGGACCAAAGGAUCGGCUCGGUUCCCGCCACACCUGAGGCGUACCUGGCGGGUGAGGUGGUUUGACUCCACCCCCCGAUGAGCUUUGGGGAUGCCCCGACACAGGAAGUCCAGACUCCCGUGCUGGUCCGCCGACAGACCGCAGUCCUGGACUGAAGGCCGCGUUUGCCUCUGAACGGGAGCUUUUUUACUGAGCCGGUUCCGUUUGGACCGCCGGUUCCGGAUGUCGUGUCAGGACGUGAGAAGCCGCGGGUCUCUCUCUGCCGCCGGAGCGUCCGGCGCUGGUGUGAGGACGGGAUUCUGUCGGAGCUAAGAGAGGAAAAGUGCAGAGAAGACAGCGGCGUCGGAACCGAUUACCCUCCAGCGGGUUCAGGCUCUGCCCCCCCCCCCCCGACCCGUCAGUCCGGAUCCCUCAGGGACCGUCUCUGACGGGAUCACACUCUCCUGGACGUUUUCUUUUCGUUGUGUUUUCAGAACUUGAGUCGGAAUUCUUCCCGUCUCAGAACCGGGUUUGGGUUCUGACGUUCCGCUGGGCUGCAGGUGUUGUUCAAACACCUUCAUCUGGAUAAUCUCUGGCUUAUGUCCCCCCCCAACACCGGACUUUCCCGCCACAGAGACCCAUAAUCUGCUUCUAAUCUGCCGGAUCGGGAUCAGGAUUGAUCCAGGCUGCUGAAUGGGGUGAGGCUCCGCCCCCCCAUGUCCUGAAGAGGAAGCCUCCAUCCUCAGUUUACCCCCCCCAGUGUCUUCAUCCCGGCUGUCAGCCGGUGGACACGC
This is a long non-coding RNA of Oryzias javanicus (javanese ricefish), 1625 nucleotides long. NCBI's taxonomy places the organism in Eukaryota, Metazoa, Chordata, Actinopteri, Beloniformes, Adrianichthyidae. The record is from Ensembl.